Molecule: ribosomal RNA, 402 nt
Filed under: uncultured Hyphomicrobiales bacterium
Lineage: Bacteria; Pseudomonadati; Pseudomonadota; Alphaproteobacteria; Hyphomicrobiales
Description: uncultured Rhizobiales bacterium partial 16S ribosomal RNA
Rfam family: Bacterial small subunit ribosomal RNA
Source: RNAcentral
UGGGGAAUAUUGGACAAUGGGGGCAACCCUGAUCCAGCCAUGCCGCGUGGGUGAUGAAGGCCCUAGGGUUGUAAAGCCCUUUCGGCGGGGAAGAUAAUGACGGUACCCGCAGAAGAAGCCCCGGCUAACUUCGUGCCAGCAGCCGCGGUAAUACGAAGGGGGCUAGCGUUGCUCGGAAUUACUGGGCGUAAAGCGCACGUAGGCGGCUUCUUAAGUCGGAGGUGAAAUCCUGGAGCUCAACUCCAGAACUGCCUUCGAUACUGGGAAGCUCGAGUCCGGGAGAGGUGAGUGGAACUGCGAGUGUAGAGGUGAAAUUCGUAGAUAUUCGCAAGAACACCAGUGGCGAAGGCGGCUCACUGGCCCGGUACUGACGCUGAGGUGCGAAAGCGUGGGGAGCAAACA